CCUAUGACAGUUGUUGGGUGGGGUAAAAAAUAACUCUGUAUAAGUUUGGUAGUGACCCUCAAAAAUGAAUCUCAGCCGCACAAGCUCUUGAACAUCCUUGGAUCAGAGGAGGAGAAGCACCGGACAAGCCUAUUGAUAGCGCGGUGUUAUUUCGGAUGAAGCAAUUCCAAGCAAUGAACAAACUUAAGAAGCUAGCUCUUAAGAGAAUCUCUCGGAAGAGGAAAUUAAAGGUCUUAAAAACAAUGUUUGCUGAGUAUGGAUAUCGAAAAAAGCGGGCACAAUUACUUACCAAGAAUUGAAAACCAGGCUGACUAAACUUGGCUCUAGACUCACUGAAACUGAAGUGAAGCAACUAAUGGAAGUCUUGUGAUCCUCUUUCCCCUGCUUCUAAUGUUUCUUAUUCUUCUUAAAAAAAAGAUGGAACCUGAAUAGCCUUAUUUUGUAUAGGGUAAAUGUAAACUUGGGAACUAUUUCAGGGGAUGCCAAACUGAUCAAAGAAUGAGGGAUCAAGGUUUAUGAAAAAAUCAGGAUGUGCUACAGUAA
Capsella rubella is the source of this 543-nucleotide long non-coding RNA. RefSeq lists it as uncharacterized. The record is from RefSeq and is a predicted model, not a curated record. The transcript is spliced from 3 exons. NCBI's taxonomy places the organism in Eukaryota, Viridiplantae, Streptophyta, Magnoliopsida, Brassicales, Brassicaceae.